Molecule: transfer RNA, 77 nt
Filed under: Candidatus Rokuibacteriota bacterium
Lineage: Bacteria; Candidatus Rokuibacteriota
Description: tRNA-Arg
Rfam family: tRNA
About the family: Transfer RNA (tRNA) molecules are approximately 80 nucleotides in length.
Source: RNAcentral
GCGCCCUUAGCUCAGGUGGAUAGAGCGUCGGACUACGAAUCCGAAGGUCAGAGGUUCGAAUCCUCUAGGGCGCACCA